UACGUAGGUGGCAAGCGUUGUCCGGAUUUACUGGGCGUAAAGGGCGUGCAGGCGGUCUGUUAAGUGCAGGGUGAAAGCUCCCGGCUCAACUGGGAGAGGUCCUUGCAUACUGGCGGACUUGAGGGGGGUAGAGGAAAGUGGAAUUCCCGGUGUAGUGGUGAUAUGCGUAGAUAUCGGGAGGAACACCUGUGGCGAAGGCGGCUUUCUGGGCCCUACCUGACGCUGAGGCGCGAAAGCGUGGGGAGCAAACAGG
This 253-nucleotide ribosomal RNA is filed under the name uncultured bacterium. RNAcentral's name for it is "partial 16S ribosomal RNA". It matches the Rfam family "Bacterial small subunit ribosomal RNA", at positions 524 to 776 of the family's 1533-position model. The record is from RNAcentral.